UACGUAGGGUGCGAGCGUUAAUCGGAAUUACUGGGCGUAAAGCGCGCGUAGGUGGCUUGAUAAGCCGGUUGUGAAAGCCCCGGGCUCAACCUGGGAACGGCAUCCGGAACUGUCAAGCUAGAGUGCAGGAGAGGAAGGUAGAAUUCCCGGUGUAGCGGUGAAAUGCGUAGAGAUCGGGAGGAAUACCAGUGGCGAAGGCGGCCUUCUGGACUGACACUGACACUGAGGUGCGAAAGCGUGGGUAGCAAACAGG
This 253-nucleotide ribosomal RNA is filed under the name uncultured microorganism. RNAcentral's name for it is "partial 16S ribosomal RNA". It matches the Rfam family "Bacterial small subunit ribosomal RNA", at positions 524 to 776 of the family's 1533-position model. The record is from RNAcentral.